CCUACGGGUGGCAGCAGUGGGGAAUAUUGGACAAUGGGCGAAAGCCUGAUCCAGCCAUGCCGCGUGUGUGAAGAAGGCCUUCGGGUUGUAAAGCACUUUCAGUGGGGAAGAAAGCCUUGGGGCUAAUACCCUCGAGGAAGGACAUCACCCACAGAAGAAGCACCGGCUAACUCCGUGCCAGCAGCCGCGGUAAUACGGAGGGUGCGAGCGUUAAUCGGAAUUACUGGGCGUAAAGCGCGCGUAGGCGGUCUGAUAAGCCGGUUGUGAAAGCCCCGGGCUCAACCUGGGAACGGCAUCCGGAACUGGCAGGCUAGAGUGCAGGAGAGGAAGGUAGAAUUCCCGGGGGAGCGGUGAAAUGCGUAGAGAUCGGGAGGAAUAACAGUGGCGAAGGCGGCCUUCUGGACUGACACUGACGCUGAGGGGCGAAAGCGUGGGUAGCAAACAGGAUUAGAUACCCCAGUAGUC
Molecule: ribosomal RNA, 465 nt
Filed under: Vreelandella stevensii
Lineage: Bacteria; Pseudomonadati; Pseudomonadota; Gammaproteobacteria; Oceanospirillales; Halomonadaceae
Description: partial 16S ribosomal RNA
Rfam family: Bacterial small subunit ribosomal RNA
Source: RNAcentral